AGCUACUAAGAGCGAAUGGUGGAUGCCUUGACUGGUAAAGGCGAUGAAGGACGUACUAGACUGCGAUAAGCUACGGGGAGCUGUCAAGAAGCUUUGAUCCGUAGAUUUCCGAAUGGGGCAACCCAAUGUAUAGAGAUAUACAUUACCUAUAUAGGAGCGAACGAGGGGAAUUGAAACAUCUUAGUACCCUCAGGAAAAGAAAUCAAUAGAGAUUGCGUCAGUAGCGGCGAGCGAAAGCGCAAGAGGGCAAACCCAGUGCUUGCACUGGGGGUUGUAGGACUGCAAUGUGCAAGAGGUGAGUUUAGCAGAACAUUCUGGAAAGUAUAGCCAUAGAGGGUGAUAGUCCCGUAUGCGAAAAACAAACCUUAGCUAGCAGUAUCCUGAGUAGGGCGGGACACGAGGAAUCCUGUCUGAAUCCGGGUCGACCACGAUCCAACCCUAAAUACUAAUACCAGAUCGAUAGUGCACAAGUACCGUGAGGGAAAGGUGAAAAGAACUGAGGUGAUCAGAGUGAAAUAGAACCUGAAACCAUUUGCUUACAAUCAUUCAGAGCCCUAUGUAGCAAUACAGGGUGAUGGACUGCCUUUUGCAUAAUGAGCCUGCGAGUUGUGGUGUCUGGCAAGGUUAAGCAAACGCGAAGCCGUAGCGAAAGCGAGUCUGAAUAGGGCGCUUAGUCAGAUGCUGCAGACCCGAAACGAAGUGAUCUAUCCAUGAGCAAGUUGAAGCUAGUGUAAGAACUAGUGGAGGACUGAACCCAUAGGCGUUGAAAAGCCCCGGGAUGACUUGUGGAUAGGGGUGAAAGGCCAAUCAAACUUCGUGAUAGCUGGUUCUCUCCGAAAUAUAUUUAGGUAUAGCGUUGUGUCGUAAUAUAAGGGGGUAGAGCACUGAAUGGGCUAGGGCAUACACCAAUGUACCAAACCCUAUCAAACUCCGAAUACCUUAUAUGUAAUCACAGCAGUCAGGCGGCGAGUGAUAAAAUCCGUCGUCAAGAGGGAAACAACCCAGACUACCAGCUAAGGUCCCUAAAUCUUACUUAAGUGGAAAACGAUGUGAAGUUACUUAAACAACCAGGAGGUUGGCUUAGAAGCAGCCAUCCUUUAAAGAAAGCGUAAUAGCUCACUGGUCUAGUGAUUUUGCGCGGAAAAUAUAACGGGGCUAAAGUAAGUACCGAAGCUGUAGACUUGCGCACAACUUAGAUUAUUUAAGUUUAGAAUAUGAGAAACUAAGUUAUAUGUUUAGUUAUAUUUUUACUGAUUUUUAUAGAGUAAAGAUAGAAAUAAAACUUAGUAAAAUCAGUAAAAAUAUUCUUAGACUAAAGUUAAGUAGUUUAAGUUGUGUGCAAGUGGUAGGAGAGCGUUCUAUUUGCGUCGAAGGUAUACCGGUAAGGAGUGCUGGAGCGAAUAGAAGUGAGCAUGCAGGCAUGAGUAGCGAUAAUUAAUGUGAGAAUCAUUAACGCCGUAAACCCAAGGUUUCCUACGCGAUGCUCGUCAUCGUAGGGUUAGUCGGGUCCUAAGUCGAGUCCGAAAGGGGUAGACGAUGGCAAAUUGGUUAAUAUUCCAAUACCAACAUUAGUGUGCGAUGGAAGGACGCUUAGGGCUAAGGGGGCUAGCGGAUGGAAGUGCUAGUCUAAGGUCGUAGGAGGUUAUACAGGCAAAUCCGUAUAACAAUACUCCGAGAACUGAAAGGCUUUUUGAAGUCUUCGGAUGGAUAGAAGAACCCCUGAUGCCAUCGAGCCAAGAAAAGUUUCUAAGUUUAGCUAAUGUUGCCCGUACCGUAAACCGACACAGGUGGGUGGGAUGAGUAUUCUAAGGCGCGUGGAAGAACUCUCUUUAAGGAACUCUGCAAAAUAGCACCGUAUCUUCGGUAUAAGGUGUGGUUCGCUUCGUAUUAGGAUUUACUCCGAAAGCGAAGAAACUUACAACAAAGAGUCCCUCCCGACUGUUUACCAAAAACACAGCACUCUGCUAACUCGUAAGAGGAUGUAUAGGGUGUGACGCCUGCCCGGUGCUCGAAGGUUAAUUGAUGGGGUUAGCAUUAGCGAAGCUCUUGAUCGAAGCCCGAGUAAACGGCGGCCGUAACUAUAACGGUCCUAAGGUAGCGAAAUUCCUUGUCGGUUAAAUACCGACCUGCAUGAAUGGCGUAACGAGAUGGGAGCUGUCUCAAAGAGGGAUCCAGUGAAAUUGUAGUGGAGGUGAAAAUUCCUCCUACCCGCGGCAAGACGGAAAGACCCCGUGGACCUUUACUACAGCUUGACACUGCUAUUUGGAUAAGAAUGUGCAGGAUAGGUGGGAGGCUUUGAGUAUAUGACGCCAGUUGUAUAUGAGCCAUUGUUGAGAUACCACUCUUUCUUAUUUGGGUAGCUAACCAGCUUGAGUUAUCCUC
Molecule: ribosomal RNA, 2382 nt
Filed under: Campylobacter coli
Lineage: Bacteria; Pseudomonadati; Campylobacterota; Epsilonproteobacteria; Campylobacterales; Campylobacteraceae
Description: bacterial LSU rRNA
Rfam family: Bacterial large subunit ribosomal RNA
Source: RNAcentral